CUUUUUUAACCCGUGACCGGAAAUGACGAGUCCGUAAAUGUUUCAUUAAACUCUCCAAAGGUGAUCGGUUACAUUUCCUAACGUGGUGGAACCAUAGACAUAUAUGUCUAUGGGUAGAACAAUUUUUCAGGUCCAUGUCUGUGCCGAUGUCCGUGUCACGCGACGUCAUUAGAGGUGAAGUGACAGCCCGCUGCGAGGUUCUGGCAGUGUCGGAAUUAACAUAUCCCAUCCCGACAUCGGCACAUUGUAGUGAAACCACGGCGAUUAAACGAGGCAACGGCAGAGGCAGAGGAGUGGAGAGAGAGCGUGCGGCCGAGGUCCGGCCGCACCCAGGCUGAGGUGUGGGCAGAAGCAGGCUCGUCUCCCCCCUUAUGCCGAGUCGCUCGGAGAACAAAAAGAUCAGGAGCGUGAUGAGUGUCUCUGGCUGCUCCGCAGGGAGAGAUGGGGAGCUUGAGUGAAGCCUUUGGCCGUUGGAGAGUUGAGGGAAGAGGUAAGCCCCCCCCACCCCCCACCCCCCCAAAUCCAUGCCAAGAAAAGCACUCGCGGAGAAGAAAAGAGGGACAGAUGGCUGUUCCGUUUAAAAAACAGUGCUCAGCGGGCUUCGAAAGACUCUGAAGCUACUCUGCAGUUUGUGAGGAGUCAUGGGAGACAGAUGCCAUUGCAUAUGGUUUUCUUUAAAUGAUCGGCUUCGCUGGAGAGAUGGAUGCUUCAAAAGUUUUUUUCCUUUUUUUCAGCCACCUUGUCUGCGAUCCAGGACCCUAGGGUCAGGUGUCUUUGAUUUUUUCAAAAGCGGAUAGUCAAGUACAAAUAGUGCUUCAGAGGAUAGUGGUAUCAGAAACAGGCAAGCCAUUAAUAAAGCAAUUAGCGGAGGGGAAGUGGGCGUACUUAUCCCCAGCGGAACCCACUCAUUAGAGCCCAGUUUUGUGGCAAACUGUGCCAACCAACCUUUUCAGUCUUUGCUUACCAAGACUGCAUUCCCCUGCUACUUGCAAUUAAGAGUUUUCCCUUUCACUCCUGAAAAUGGACAUUUUGUCAGAUCAUAUGCUUGAUUCCUGUUAACUGGAAUUGCUUACAAAAUGUGAGAGUUGUGUAAUGUAAUUUUUGGGGAAUUCGGGGCAAAAAAACCUGGUAAAAGUUUUGCCAUCCAACAAGAGUGAAUUCGCCGAGAAUUAAAAAUGCAAGGAAGCGCUUUUGGCUGGUUGUUAUAUGGUGCUAUAAUUGCAACGAUAUGCGCUUUGCAUAUAACACUGCUGCCACUUAAUGGGCAGCAAACCUUUCUCGGUGCGGUUUGUUAUUAAUAGUUCCUUUGUGUUUUGAUGUUUGCAAGGGAGAAAAAUAAAGAAAACACAAAACAAGAAAAAAAAUAGAAGCGGUAGAGAAAAAACAAUACCAUUUGCACAUAAGCACCGAGAUCUGGGUGGGUGUGCUGAUGGAGGCAAAAUACCUUCCUCUCCCUGGCAGAGGUGCCAAGACCUGGGGCAGAGGGGGGAGUGGAGUUUGGUGGAGCUCAACAGUACCACGGAAAGGCCCAGAGCAAACAAUCUGUCGUCACAACAAGACUGUACCUUCAUUAUCGACUCUCUCCCCCCACACCUUCUCUUCAUCAGCAGGGCUGGCUGGCAGCUGAGGCGCCAAAGCAGAGUAGUCACAGCCGCACAGCACUCUGGGAGUGGGCACUCCUCCUGCUCCCCCUGCUGUCCCAGGUGCUGCUGAUCACGCUCCCUCUCUGUCUUUCUCUCUCACACACACACACACACUCAGACAUACACACCCACACUCUGAUA
Molecule: long non-coding RNA, 1784 nt
Organism: Anguilla rostrata (American eel)
Lineage: Eukaryota; Metazoa; Chordata; Actinopteri; Anguilliformes; Anguillidae
Exons: 4
Source: RefSeq, a predicted model, not a curated record